This 253-nucleotide ribosomal RNA is filed under the name uncultured bacterium. Its description in RNAcentral is "partial 16S ribosomal RNA". It matches the Rfam family "Bacterial small subunit ribosomal RNA", at positions 524 to 776 of the family's 1533-position model. The record is from RNAcentral.
UACGGGGGGGGCAAGCGUUGUUCGGAAUUACUGGGCGUAAAGGGCGCGUAGGCGGUUUGCUAAGUUGGAUGUGAAAACUCUGGGCUUAACCCAGAGCCUGCAUCCAAAACUGGCAAACUUGAGUACUGGAGGGGAAAGCGGAAUUCCUGGUGUAGCGGUGAAAUGCGUAGAUAUCAGGAGGAACACCGGUGGCGAAGGCGGCUUUCUGGACAGUAACUGACGCUGAGGCACGAAAGCGUGGGGAGCAAACGGG